Molecule: ribosomal RNA, 755 nt
Filed under: uncultured Alphaproteobacteria bacterium
Lineage: Bacteria; Pseudomonadati; Pseudomonadota; Alphaproteobacteria
Description: bacterial SSU rRNA
Rfam family: Bacterial small subunit ribosomal RNA
Source: RNAcentral
AAGUGGUGGUGAAAAUCCNAGAGCUUAACUCUGGAACUGCCAUCAAAACNUUUUUAGCUAGAGUAUGAUAGAGGAAAGCAGAAUUUCUAGUGUAGAGGUGAAAUUCGUAGAUAUUAGAAAGAAUACCAAUUGCGAAGGCAGCUUUCUGGAUCAUUACUGACGCUGAGGAACGAAAGCAUGGGUAGCGAAGAGGAUUAGAUACCCUCGUAGUCCAUGCCGUAAACGAUGUGUGUUAGACGUUGGAAAUUUAUUUUCAGUGUCGCAGCGAAAGCAUUAAACACACCGCCUGGGGAGUACGACCGCAAGGUUAAAACUCAAAUGAAUUGACGGGGACCCGCACAAGUAGUGGAGCAUGUGGUUUAAUUCGAAGAUACGCGCAGAACCUUACCAACACUUGACAUGUUCGUCGCGACUCUAAGAGAUUAGAGUUUUCGGUUCGGCCGGACGAAACACAGGUGCUGCAUGGCUGUCGUCAGCUCGUGUCGUGAGAUGUUGGGUUAAGUCCCGCAACGAGCGCAACCCUCACUUUUAGUUGCCAUCACUUAGUUGGGCACUCUGAAAGAACUGCCAGUGAUAAGCUGGAGGAAGGUGGGGAUGACGUCAAGUCCUCAUGGCCCUUACGUGUUGGGCUACACACGUGCUACAAUGGCAUUUACAAUAGGAAGCAAGAUGGCGACAUCAAGCAAAUCCUAAAAAGAUGCCUCAGUUCGGAUUGUACUCUGCAACUCGAGUACAUGAAGCUGGAAUUACGUAGU